Hyla sarda is the source of this 1073-nucleotide long non-coding RNA. RefSeq lists it as uncharacterized. The transcript has 4 exons. Lineage: Eukaryota; Metazoa; Chordata; Amphibia; Anura; Hylidae. The record is from RefSeq and is a predicted model, not a curated record.
CUUGGCUGUAAGCAGAGUCAACCACACCGGUCACCUAUGUCCCCAUUAACAUAUGGGGGCCAGUGUGGGGGCAUAACCACUAUAAAGUGGCAGUGUAAAGGGCCUAACUGCUGUUUGAGGGCACAGAAGGGGCCUAACUACUACCGUGCCAGAUAAAGGAAAAGUGAAAGAAUCCACCUUGGGAGAUACUACAUGUAACUGUACUGUACUCACUUAUAUUACCUGCAGAACCGGUAAAGUGCUGGUACAUAUUGCUAUAUGGUCAGUGUAUGGGGGAAUAUAGCGCUAUUCACCAGUCAGUGGCUACAGUGGUAAUCUGCCUCAGUCAAUGCCUCGCUAAAUGGGCAGUUCCGACAGUGAUGCUACAGGUAGCAGGAAGAAGCAGAGUGUAUUAAGGACCAGGAGAUGUCAGAAUGGCAGGUGUGGGUAAUAGGGGCAGCGCCUGUUGCAUGAAGAUUUCUUUCUACUUAUACUAUUGCUCCUUGAGACGGGAUCGGGUUAUCUUCUUUCUGCAACCUUUCAGGCUUGGCAGUUCAUCUCCAGUGAAGAAUUUGGCUACCCCUGCAGAGGGGUGAUAUGCACAAUUUAUUAUAUACUAGGUGAGUGGCCACUCAGAAGGCUGGCAUUUUCUGUUCUACACUCAGGCAUAUUACCUUGGAUAAUACACGAGGCGCGGUUCCCCGAUUUUUUCCAUUUUUUAAGGUAUCGCUGGCUGAAGCGCGACAUAGUUGCGGCCGGAGAUUACCUGAGUCCACAGUGUGACCCGUUGACCACGGGAACCAGGAAAAUGGCAGCAGAGGUCUGAAAUGGCGAUACCAGGACACGAGGUAGCAGCGGCUAAUUUUUUUGCUGAUCCCCUGACUCCUGGAUGACAUUGUUCUCAUGUUUGAUGGCCUACCAUAGCAACUGCCACAUAUUUUUUUUCUAGCCAGAAGCCCACCUUUAUCACAGGGACCUUGGGACCCAUCACCACCUGAUCUUUAUUGCUGGGGGAGGGCCCCCGGGUCCUGCAUAUAUUCAUUGUUUGUGGAUGGUCCUUCCACUUUGGUAUAGUUUGGGAUUAUUGUACACAU